GCUCAUAGCAAUAUGGGAGCGGCGAACGGCGUAGUAAUUCAUAGGAACGUACCCUCAGGUCGGGGAUAGCUACGGGAAACUGUAGGUAAUACCCGAUGAUCUCUGCGGAGCAAAGGUGUGAUUCCGCCUGAGGAGCGGCUUAUGCGAUAUUAGCUAGUUGGUGGGGUAAUGGCCUACCAAGGCUACGAUGUCUAGGGGGUGUGAGAGCAUGGCCCCCACGACCGGAACUGAGAUACUGUCCGGACACCUACGGGUGGCUGCAGUCGAGAAUCUUCCGCAAUGGACGAAAGUCUGACGGAGCGACGCCGCGUGCGGGAUGAAGGCCCUUGGGUUGUAAACCGCUGUCAGAGGGGAUGAAAUCUUCGGAGGUUCUCCUCCGAAGUUGACAGAGCCUCAAAGGAAGCACGGGCUAAGUACGUGCCAGCAGCCGCGGUAACACGUACUGUGCGAACGUUAUUCGGAAUCACUGGGCUUAAAGGGUGCGUAGGCGGCAAUUCAAGUCAGGUGUGAAAUGCCUGAGCUCAACUGAGGCAUUGCACUUGAAACUGAACUGCUAGAGUAUCCCAGGGGUGUGCGGAACUGCCAGUGGAGCGGUGAAAUGUGUUGAUAUUGGCAGGAACACCGGAGGCGAAAGCGGCACACUGGGGGAUAACUGACGCUGAGGCACGAAAGCCAGGGGAGCGAACGGGAUUAGAUACCCCGGUAGUCCUGGCCGUAAACGAUGAGCACUGGGCGGGAGGGGGUUUCCCUUUUCUGCCGUAGCGAAAGCGUUAAGUGCUCCGCCUGGGGAGUAUGGUCGCA
This 801-nucleotide ribosomal RNA is filed under the name uncultured bacterium. Its description in RNAcentral is "bacterial SSU rRNA". It matches the Rfam family "Bacterial small subunit ribosomal RNA", at positions 68 to 890 of the family's 1533-position model. The record is from RNAcentral.